UACGUAGGUGGCUAGCGUUGUCCGGAAUCAUUGGGCGUAAAGAGCGUGUAGGCGGUCCGGUAAGUCCGCUGUGAAAGUCGGGGGCUCAACCCUCGAAUGCCGGUGGAUACUGUCGGGCUAGAGUGCGGAAGAGGCGAGUGGAAUUCCUGGUGUAGCGGUGAAAUGCGCAGAUAUCAGGAGGAACACCUAUUGCGAAGGCAGCUCGCUGGGACGUUACUGACGCUGAGACUCGAAAGCGUGGGGAGCAAACAGG
This 253-nucleotide ribosomal RNA is filed under the name uncultured bacterium. Its description in RNAcentral is "partial 16S ribosomal RNA". It matches the Rfam family "Bacterial small subunit ribosomal RNA", at positions 524 to 776 of the family's 1533-position model. The record is from RNAcentral.